UUAAGCAUAUCAAUAAGCGGAGGAAAAGAAACCAACAGGGAUUGCCUUAGUAACGGCGAGUGAAGCGGCAAAAGCUCAGAUUUGAAAUCUGGCGUCAUUUUGGCGUCCGAGUUGUAAUCUGUAGAGGAGUAUUCGAGUGUGGAUUUGGCUUAAGUUCCUUGGAACAGGACGUCAUAGAGGGUGAGAACCCCGUUAACGGCCUACGUCUUAUGCUCAUGUGAAUCUCCUUCAACGAGUCGAGUUGUUUGGGAAUGCAGCUCUAAAUGGGUGGUAAAUUCCAUCUAAAGCUAAAUACUGGCAAGAGACCGAUAGCGCACAAGUAGAGUGAUCGAAAGAUGAAAAGAACUCUGAACAGAGAGUUAAAUAGUACGUGAAAUUGUUGAAAGGGAAGCACUUGCUACCAGACACGCCUGUAGUUGAUCAACCUCCAUUCUUGGUGGUGCACUCGGCUAUAGGUGGGUCAGCAUCAGUUACAACGGUGGGAUAAAGACUUUGGGAAUGUAGCUUCCUUCGGGAAGUGUUAUAGCCCUUGGUGUAAUACCAUCUGAUGUGACUGAGGCCCGCGCUUCGGCGAGGAUGCUGC
This 583-nucleotide ribosomal RNA is filed under the name Geoscypha violacea. RNAcentral describes it as "partial large subunit ribosomal RNA". It matches the Rfam family "Eukaryotic large subunit ribosomal RNA", at positions 34 to 629 of the family's 3401-position model. Lineage: Eukaryota; Fungi; Ascomycota; Pezizomycetes; Pezizales; Pezizaceae. The record is from RNAcentral.